Long non-coding RNA from Engraulis encrasicolus (European anchovy), 1507 nucleotides. RefSeq lists it as uncharacterized. NCBI's taxonomy places the organism in Eukaryota, Metazoa, Chordata, Actinopteri, Clupeiformes, Engraulidae. The record is from RefSeq and is a predicted model, not a curated record. The transcript has 2 exons.
AUGACUGUAGAGUUUUUUUUAUUUUAAAAUAUCUACGAUGAAGAUGUGUCUUAUGAUGAGCAGGAGGGCUCAUUUUAUCACGGUGUCAAGGUAUUUUCUUUCGUGCGCGAACAAUAAGCUAGGUCAGUUACCAUAACAGCUUAUCUAGUUAGCAUAACUAGCCAGUAGAGCGAACAGUUGUUUUUGCAAAUAUUCUUCACCACCGUCACAUAUACGUUUCACCUUGACAUUGGCUGAUGAGGGAAAAAACAUGUAGAAUUAUUUCUAAUCUAAACAAAAUGAGUGCAAGACCCUGCUGCCCUGGGUUGUAAUGGAAAGCGCCCUACGUGUCGAAGUUGCAAUGCAUCAGACCGUACACCUCCUGUCAAGUCUGUGGCAGCUUCUGUGACAUUUGCUGAACACUCGCUCUCGUAGGCUACCCGAAACAGCUUAUCAACUACCGGUAUACGACAUGCACUUUAUUUACUCUGGUUAUACAGCCGACUACUUUUCGUUACAUGUAAUGGUAGGCCUAUAGAAGUUUAGGCUAAUAUAUUCUUUCUCCCUGUAGCGGAUCCACCAGUGCACUGGACCCUGCUGAGAUCAGCUUCAUGAAGAAACGGCAAGAUCCAGACGACGACACCAUAUCUGCUCAUCUCCCUCACCUGUCCACCCGGAUGAAGGAACACACUCUGCAGCUGAACCUAUCUAAAACCAAGCUCCCAGUCCAAAUUGUUUUAGGUUAACCCAGUGUUUCUCAAAGUGGGGCGUAAGCCCCCCUGGGGGAGCGCAAAGGCAUCUCGGGGGGGGGCUUGUGACAUCUGAUUUUGGGUUUUUUCCCCAAGGAAAUGAUUUCCUGUCUCGCCAAUAUGUCAAUAGGUUUAAAGCCCUCACCAACAUUAUUUAUAUUAUUAAUUGUCAUUAAUUUGAAUACCAUAGGAAAUGAACACACAUCUGCAUUCGACUGCAGUCCCUCUUUGUUUAAUUUCACCAGUCAUCACCUUUCCUUUGAUUCUGCGCAGCGAUCGCAAAAUCAGUCUGCGCGAGUACUGCUGUUGCUUGGGGGGGCUCGGAAGCAUUCAGACCCUCUGAAGUGGGGAAUGAGGGAAAAAGUUUGAGAACCACUGGGUUAACCUCUGACAGCAACCUAUGUCUUCACACGUUGGGCUAUAUUAUCCUUGCAACUUGGCUUGGUACAUGUGGCUUGUUGAUUUGCAGUGUAUUGUUGUGACAACCAUCCUGUGAUACCGUGAGAGUAAUUCAUAUUUGAUCCCUUGCUGAUUUUGUUGGUUUGCAUAUGUAUCUGCUGUGUUUCUGCACAGUCCGCCACAGGAGGCUCAAACCCACCACCUCCUAGUCAACGCUCCAGUUCGGGUAUGCACGAUACCGCUGAGCUAAAGGACCAGUCACCUGAGAUGUACGGACAAUACUGUAGAGUAAUUAGUAUAGACUAUAGACUCAAGAUAGACAGACAGAAGAUGUUUGAAGUUGUUGUAUUAGUGUGCACAAUAAAAUAAGCAAGUCAUGC